RNAcentral lists this unclassified non-coding RNA (20 nucleotides) under Mus musculus (house mouse). RNAcentral describes it as "oocyte_clustered_small_RNA8417". The record is from RNAcentral. Lineage: Eukaryota; Metazoa; Chordata; Mammalia; Rodentia; Muridae.
GGGACUUGUGAUCCAGUGUG